Molecule: transfer RNA, 63 nt
Filed under: Oligodon chinensis (Chinese kukri snake)
Lineage: Eukaryota; Metazoa; Chordata; Lepidosauria; Squamata; Colubridae
Description: tRNA-Pro
Source: RNAcentral
CAAAGAGUAGUUUAAGUCUAAAAUGCCGGCUUUGGGGGUCGGAGAUAGGUGUUCUCUCUUUGA